UGCAUGUGCCAGUACGAGCGAGUACACAGUGAAACUGCGAAUGGCUCAUUAAAUCAGUUGUGGUUCAUUGGAUCGUUGACAACCCAAGUGGAUAACUGUGGCAAAACCAGAGCUAAUACAUGCCUCGAUGCCCCGAUCCCCGUCGCCGGGGAGAGGGGCGCAGUUAUUAGACCAAGACCAACCGCCGGCGGCGCGCCCCUUCACGGGGGCCGCCCCGGUGACCUACUCUGUGGUGACUCUGGGUAACCUCGGGCUGAUCGCACGGCCUCCGCGCCGGCGACGUAUCUUUCAAAUGUCUGCCCUAUCAAAUGUCGAAGGGAGGUGCCUUGCCUCCCUUGUUGGCAACGGGUGACGGGGAAUCAGGGUUCGGUUCCGGAGAGGGAGCAUGAGAGUCGGCUACCACGUCCAAGGAAGGCAGCAGGCGCGCAAAUUACCCACUCCUGACACGGGGAGGUAGUGACGAAAACUAACGGUGCGGGACUCUGUUGAGGCUCCGCAACCGGAAUGAGUACACUUUAAAUCCUUGUAUCGAGGAUCCAUUGGAGGGCAAGUCUGGUGCCAGCAGCCGCGGUAAUUCCAGCUCCAAUAGCGUAUAUUAAAGUUGUUGCAGUUAAAAACCGAGUGGAGCCUGCGGCUUAAUUUGACUCAACACGGGGAAACUCACCCGGCCCGGACACCGUGAGGAUUGACAGACUGAGAGCUCUUUCUCGAUUCGGUGGGUGGUGGUGCAUGGCCGUUCUUAGUUGGUGGAGCGAUCCGUCUGGUUAAUUCCGAUAACGAACGAGACCCCGGCCUACUAAAUAGUCCGCCUCCCCGCCAAUGGGAGGGGCGAACCCGUAGACUUCUUAGAGGGAGAAGCGGCGUCGAACAGCCGCCUGAACUGGGGCAAUAACAGGUCUGUGAUGCCCUUAGAUGUCCGGGGCCGCACGCGCGCUACACUGAAAGAGUCAGAGGGUAGAGCUCCUGGCCCGACAUGGCUGGGCAAUCCGUAGCCAAACUCUAUCGUGCUAGGGACUGGGGCUUGCAAUUGUCCCCACCAACGAGGAAUUCCCAGUAAGCGCGAGUCAUCAGCUCGUGUUGAUCACGUCCCUGCCCUUUGUACACACCGCCCGUCGCUACUACCGAUUGGAUGGUUUAGUGAGGCCUUCGGACGGGCCCCGGGCCGGUCGCCUCGUGCGGCCGGCUGUCUUGGUGCUGCCCGAAAGGGGGUCGAAC
RNAcentral lists this ribosomal RNA (1215 nucleotides) under Megasyllis multiannulata. RNAcentral describes it as "partial 18S ribosomal RNA". It matches the Rfam family "Eukaryotic small subunit ribosomal RNA". The record is from RNAcentral. Lineage: Eukaryota; Metazoa; Annelida; Polychaeta; Phyllodocida; Syllidae.